GGAUAUAUGCCCGAAAGCUAAGGGUUACUUUGAUAGAGUAAUAAAUAAGAGUUCAAACCUCUUUAUAUCCU
Molecule: transfer RNA, 71 nt
Filed under: Microcaecilia unicolor
Lineage: Eukaryota; Metazoa; Chordata; Amphibia; Gymnophiona; Siphonopidae
Rfam family: tRNA
About the family: Transfer RNA (tRNA) molecules are approximately 80 nucleotides in length. Their secondary structure includes four short double-helical elements and three loops (D, anti-codon, and T loops).
Source: Rfam by way of RNAcentral